RNAcentral lists this ribosomal RNA (319 nucleotides) under uncultured eukaryote. Its description in RNAcentral is "partial 18S ribosomal RNA". It matches the Rfam family "Eukaryotic small subunit ribosomal RNA", at positions 1470 to 1796 of the family's 1831-position model. The record is from RNAcentral.
CCCUUAGAUGUUCUGGGCCGCACGCGUGCUACACUGAGUGGAUCAGCGGGUCAGGUUGCGCGAAAGUGUUUCCUAAUCUUGAAAUCCGCUCGUGAUGGGGAUUGACGGUCGCAAUUUUCCGUCAUGAACGAGGAAUUCCUAGUAAACGCGAGUCAUCAGCUCGCAUUGAUUACGUCCCUGCCCUUUGUACACACCGCCCGUCGCACCUACCGAUUGAAUGUUUCGGUGAAGAUUCCGGAUAGGACUUUUUUGAUUUAUUUCAAUUUUGUCUUAAAAGCUAUCUAAACCUCAACAUUUAGAGGAAGGUGAAGUCGUAACA